RNAcentral lists this transfer RNA (71 nucleotides) under Trinectes maculatus (hogchoker). RNAcentral's name for it is "tRNA-Trp". It matches the Rfam family "tRNA". From Rfam's summary of the family: Transfer RNA (tRNA) molecules are approximately 80 nucleotides in length. Their secondary structure includes four short double-helical elements and three loops (D, anti-codon, and T loops). Lineage: Eukaryota; Metazoa; Chordata; Actinopteri; Pleuronectiformes; Achiridae. The record is from RNAcentral.
AGGUACUUAGGAUAGAACUAGACCAGGAGCCUUCAAAGCCCCCAGCGGAAGUGAAAACCUUCCAGUUCCUG